GAUGAACGCUGGCGGCGUGCUUAACACAUGCAAGUCGAACGGAAAGGCUCCUGCUUGCAGGGGUACUCGAGUGGCGAACGGGUGAGUAACACGUGGGUGAUCUGCCCUGCACUUCGGGAUAAGCCUGGGAAACUGGGUCUAAUACCGGAUAGGACGAUGGUUUGGAUGCCAUUGUGGACAGUUUUUCGGUGUGGGAUGAGCUCGCGGCCUAUCAGCUUGUUGGUGGGGUAAUGGCCUACCAAGGCGUCGACGGGUAGCCGGCCUGAGAGGGUGUACGGCCACAUUGGGACUGAGAUACGGCCCAGACGCCUACGGGAGGCAGCAGUGGGGAAUAUUGCACAAUGGGCGCAAGCCUGAUGCAGCGACGCCGCGUGGGGGAUGACGGCCUUCGGGUUGUAAACUCCUUUCGCUAGGGACGAAGCGCAAGUGACGGUACCUGGAGAAGAAGCACCGGCUAACUACGUG
This 465-nucleotide ribosomal RNA is filed under the name uncultured bacterium. RNAcentral describes it as "partial 16S ribosomal RNA". It matches the Rfam family "Bacterial small subunit ribosomal RNA", at positions 28 to 507 of the family's 1533-position model. The record is from RNAcentral.